Molecule: long non-coding RNA, 222 nt
Organism: Gadus morhua (Atlantic cod)
Lineage: Eukaryota; Metazoa; Chordata; Actinopteri; Gadiformes; Gadidae
Exons: 3
Source: RefSeq, a predicted model, not a curated record
GCUUGUGAAAAUCACGAACGCAAAUAAAUGAAACGUUGUUAUAAAUCAACACAAAUCAUUGUAUCAAUAGUGUGACACAUGUAAUACAGUAGUUGUUUUUAGACGAGUUAGUAUCAUGAGCUAACGUUUGUUUUGGCACUUACAGAAAGGUAGCUAUAGAGUUGCCGUGUAGUAGGUGGAUUGAUAGGUGAAAAUCAAUAUUAAAAUUCAUGUAGCCCUACG